ACGGAAGGCAGCAGUGGGGAAUAUUGGACAAUGGGGGAAACCCUGAUCCAGCGACGCCGCGUGAGUGAAGAAGUAUUUCGGUAUGUAAAGCUCUAUCAGCAAGGAAGAAAAUGACGGUACUUGACUAAGAAGCCCCGGCUAACUACGUGCCAGCAGCCGCGGUAAUACGUAGGGGGCAAGCGUUAUCCGGAUUUACUGGGUGUAAGGGGAGCGUAGACGGCAUAGCAAGUCUGAAGUGAAAUGCAUGGGCUCAACCCAUGAACUGCUUUGGAAACUGUUAAGCUAGAGUGCAGGAGAGGUAAGUGGAAUUCCUAGUGUAGCGGUGAAAUGCGUAGAUAUUAGGAGGAACACCAGUGGCGAAGGCGGCUUACUGGACUGUAACUGACGUUGAGGCUCGAAAGCGUGGGGAGCAAACAGGAUUAGAUACCCUGGUA
Molecule: ribosomal RNA, 434 nt
Filed under: uncultured Lachnospiraceae bacterium
Lineage: Bacteria; Bacillati; Bacillota; Clostridia; Lachnospirales; Lachnospiraceae
Description: bacterial SSU rRNA
Rfam family: Bacterial small subunit ribosomal RNA
Source: RNAcentral